RNAcentral lists this ribosomal RNA (301 nucleotides) under uncultured bacterium. RNAcentral's name for it is "partial 16S ribosomal RNA". It matches the Rfam family "Bacterial small subunit ribosomal RNA", at positions 509 to 807 of the family's 1533-position model. The record is from RNAcentral.
CAGUAGCCACGGUAAAACGUAGGUGGCAAGCGUUGUCCGGAAUUAUUGGGCGUAAAGGGCUCGCAGGCGGUUUCUUAAGUCUGAUGUGAAAGCCCCCGGCUCAACCGGGGAGGGUCAUUGGAAACUGGGAAACUUGAGUGCAGAAGAGGAGAGUGGAAUUCCACGUGUAGCGGUGAAAUGCGUAGAGAUGUGGAGGAACACCAGUGGCGAAGGCGACUCUCUGGUCUGUAACUGACGCUGAGGAGCGAAAGCGUGGGGAGCGAACAGGAUUAGAUACCCGAGUAGUCCCUGUCUCUUAUAC